This 440-nucleotide ribosomal RNA is filed under the name uncultured bacterium. RNAcentral describes it as "partial 16S ribosomal RNA". It matches the Rfam family "Bacterial small subunit ribosomal RNA", at positions 338 to 795 of the family's 1533-position model. The record is from RNAcentral.
CCUACGGGGAGCUGCAGUGGGGAAUAUUGCACAAUGGGGGGAACCCUGAUGCAGCAACGCCGCGUGGGUGAAGAAGUACUUCGGUAUGUAAAGCCCUGUCAGCAGGGAAGAAAAUGACGGUACCUGACCAAGAAGCACCGGCUAACUACGUGCCAGCAGCCGCGGUAAUACGGAGGGGGCAAGAGUUAUCCGGAUUUACUGGGUGUAAAGGGAGCGUAGACGGCAAGGCAAGUCUGGAGUGAAAGCCCGUGGCUCAACCACGGGACUGCUUUGGAAACUGUGUUGCUGGAGUGCAGGAGGGGUAAGCGGAAUUCCUAGUGUAGCGGUGAAAUGCGUAGAUAUUAGGAGGAACACCGGUGGCGAAGGCGGCUUACUGGACUGUAACUGACGUUGAGGCUCGAAGGCGUGGGGAGCAAACAGGAUUAGAUACCCUGGUAGUC